Molecule: ribosomal RNA, 361 nt
Filed under: Eleutherodactylus eileenae
Lineage: Eukaryota; Metazoa; Chordata; Amphibia; Anura; Eleutherodactylidae
Description: partial 12S ribosomal RNA
Rfam family: Bacterial small subunit ribosomal RNA
Source: RNAcentral
GCCAGGGUACUACGAGCAAAGCUUAAAACCCAAAGGACUUGACGGUGCCCCACAUCCCCCUAGAGGAGCCUGUCCUGUAAUCGAUACCCCCCGUUUAACCUCACCACUUCUAGCUACUCAGCUUGUAUACUUCCGUCGCCAGCUUACCGCAUGAGCGAAAUUCAGUUAGCUAAAUUGGCUAAGUGUCUACCCACACCUCUAAUACGUCAGGUCAAAGUGCAGCAAAUGAAGUGGAAUCAGAUUGGCUACACUUUUUAACAUAAAAGAUUACGAAAGACAAAAAAAUGAAACUUUGUCAGAAGGUGGAUUUAGUAGUAAAAAGAGUUCAUUAUACUCAUUUUAAAUAGGCACUGGAGCGCGU